AAUUUCUGUACGAAAUGUUAUAAACAGAUACGCACAUAUUGAAUGAAUACAAUCAAUCCGCCAUAUUGUUGCACCAUGGAUAUAAGCGGCAGUUAAUAAACAACAAACCAUGACUGUUAAUGAUAAUUUUCAAUAGAUAAAUGAUUUUUUGGGGGUUUCCAUAGACUUAAAAUUCCUAAGAAACAUCAAAAUUAAAAUUAUAUAUUUACUACUGUACUUUUCAAAAACGUCAAAACAAAUUUGUUAACGAUAUAAGCAAUGGACGUAAACAGAGUUUUUAUAGCUUCAGGUAAAGCUGAAGGAUCAUCAGAAGCCAGGAAAACCCUGCGCUCUACGCCUGGCAUUCGCAGCUCCAGUUUACUGAAGAAAUCCUCCACAUAUGUCAUGUAUUCAGCCACUGAGUGGAAUGAGGCCUCGGCUGCUAGCUUGUCAGUACGACGAAUGUGUACUCUAUCAUGAAACAAACACAGAAACUGACAAAGCCUUACAAUCAGUACAAAUUUCAAACUAAUUUAACUUCCAAAAAAGAAUUGCAUUGAAAACAACUGACAAUGUUGACUUUCAAAUAAAUAUGUAAAAUAUCUAGAAACAAA
Molecule: long non-coding RNA, 593 nt
Organism: Ostrea edulis (European flat oyster)
Lineage: Eukaryota; Metazoa; Mollusca; Bivalvia; Ostreida; Ostreidae
Exons: 2
Source: RefSeq, a predicted model, not a curated record